UACGAGUGCCCCCAAGCGUUAUCCGGAAUUAUUGGGCGUAAAGGGUGUGUAGGUGGUUUUGUUAGUCUUCUGUUAAAGCUCCCGGCUUAACCGGGAAAGUGCAGAGGAAACGGCAAGACUAGAGGAUGUGAGGGGUCUAUGGAACUCAUGGUGUAGGGGUGAAAUCCGUUGAUAUCAUGGGGAACACCAAAAGCGAAGGCAAUAGACUGGCGCAUUCCUGACACUGAAACACGAAAGCGUGGGUAGCGAAUGGG
RNAcentral lists this ribosomal RNA (254 nucleotides) under uncultured bacterium. RNAcentral describes it as "partial 16S ribosomal RNA". It matches the Rfam family "Bacterial small subunit ribosomal RNA", at positions 524 to 776 of the family's 1533-position model. The record is from RNAcentral.